Molecule: ribosomal RNA, 441 nt
Filed under: uncultured bacterium
Lineage: Bacteria
Description: partial 16S ribosomal RNA
Rfam family: Bacterial small subunit ribosomal RNA
Source: RNAcentral
CCUACGGGAGACAGCAGUGGGGAAUAUUGCACAAUGGGGGAAACCCUGAUGCAGCGACGCCGCGUGAGUGAAGAAGGAUUUCGGUGUGUAAAGCUCUAUCAGCAGGGGAGAAGAAAGAGGGUACCUGACCAAGAAGCCCCGGCUAACUACGUGCCAGCAGCCGCGGUAAUACGGAGGGGGCAAGCGUUAUCCGGAUUUACUGGGUGUAACGGGAGCGUAGACGGCUGUGCAAGUCUGAAGUGAAAGCCCAGGGCUCAACCCUAGGACUGCUUUGGAAACUGUGGAGCUAGAGUACUGGAGAGGUAAGUGGAAUUCCUAGUGUAGCGGUGAAAUGCGUAGAUAUUAGGAGGAACACCAGUGGCGAAGGCGGCUUACUGGACGGUAACUGACGUUGAGGCUCGAAAGCGUGGGGAGCAAACAGGAUUAGAUACCCCAGUAGUC